UGCUUACUUAGACUAGAAGCAUUCUGUACAAGACAAACUACUAUAUGCUAGUAUUACUUACACUCUGUGUGUGGGGCACUCUCCUUUAAUUUUCUAGCAUGUUAAAUUUAACAUUCUAAUAUAUUUCUUUGAAACAAUAGUCUAGCACAACUUAUUUACUUCAUUUUUUAAAAUAGCUAAUACAUAUUGAAUUAUUCAUGUAUUAAUCUAAAAUAAUAACCAAACAACUACAGGAUAGUGGAUUAGUAGCAUGCAUGUGUGACUUAGUUUUUGGUGUGUUUUUCUUGCAGGUCAUUGUUGUGAAGGCCGCCAAGGGAAGGAGUGGGGGAUUUGGCACAAGUCUGGUGAUCGAGUCUAUGCUCUCUUCUCCAUGGAAAGACCUAAAUUCAGCUUGACAGAGAGCACACGAAUGGUUUCAGCUUGACAACAAAUGUAUGAAACUUCUUAGCUGUGGACGACAACUACUACCUUGAGAAGGACCAGCAUCACCCAUCAAGUAUGCCAUCGAGGGCGACGGCCGAAGGCAUGAUGAUAGUUCUAUUGUUGUUCUAGUGUAGCGAAGGUGGCCUAGUCGACUAUGGUCGCCUAGUGAGUCGUGCAUAGGAUUUCAUCUGAAUGUAACCUUGAUGUAAACUGCUCCUAUUGU
Non-coding RNA from Triticum urartu, 646 nucleotides. Lineage: Eukaryota; Viridiplantae; Streptophyta; Magnoliopsida; Poales; Poaceae. The record is from RefSeq and is a predicted model, not a curated record.